Molecule: ribosomal RNA, 484 nt
Filed under: uncultured bacterium
Lineage: Bacteria
Description: partial 16S ribosomal RNA
Rfam family: Bacterial small subunit ribosomal RNA
Source: RNAcentral
AUUGAACGCUGGCGGCAGGCCUAACACAUGCAAGUCGAGCGGAUUAAGGGAGCUUGCUCCUGGAUUCAGCGGCUGACGGGUGAGUAAUGCCUAAGAAUCUGCCUGUUAUUGGGGGAUAACGUCCGUAAACGGGCGCUAAUACCGCAUACGUCCUGAGUGAGAAAGUGGGGGAUCUUCGGACCUCACUCUAUCAGAUGAGCCUAGGUCGGUUUAGCUAGUUGGUGAGGUAAAGGCCUACCAAGUCGACGAUCCGUAACUGGUCUGAGAGGUUGAUCAGUCACACUGGAAAUGAGACACGGUACAGACUACUACGGGAGGCAGCAGUGGGAAAUAUUGGACAAUGGGCGAAAGCCUGAUCCAGCCAUGCCGCGUGUGUGAAGAAGGUCUUCGGAUUGUAAAGCACUUUAAGUUGGGAGGAAGGGCAGUAAGUUAAUACCUUGCUGUUUUGACGUUACCAACAGAAUAAGCACCGGCUAACUUCGUG